RNAcentral lists this unclassified non-coding RNA (1699 nucleotides) under Camponotus floridanus (Florida carpenter ant). RNAcentral's name for it is "f-box domain-containing protein". The record is from RNAcentral. Lineage: Eukaryota; Metazoa; Arthropoda; Insecta; Hymenoptera; Formicidae.
GUCGAGUGCGAAAUUUCAAUUACAAUUAUAUAAAUGUUACCUGGCGUUCGCUGCGCCUGUCUUAUACGGUGUAUUUUUAGCGAUAUCGCAUAUAAAUAAUCCAUCGCGAGAAUGCGUUAUUUUCGCGGCAACACCGGCAUCGAUCGUGUCGAAAAUGCGCAGGGGAUUCUGGAAAUUCGAUGAGCUGAACCUCAAAGCCUUGUACAUAGAUCUGGAGGAGGACCCAGAGGAGGAUAAGCUCUGCAAGGAGUACAGCAGCUGGGAUCAGAUUCCCGACAUCCUGCUGGAGGAGAUCUUCUCAUACCUGACCAUUCGAGAGCGUUACUAUGCGUCCCUGGUGUGCAGAGCGUGGUAUCGCGCCUUCAAGCUGCAGAAUGUAUGGUCUACGUUCACCCUGGAGGAUACCACUCUCACGCGAGGGAAGUUCAACUAUUACAGCGGCUGGCAGUAUGUCCUGGAUCAUAUAAGAACGUCCACGUGUCUCAACAAAGUCGGCAAGAACUUUCGCUCGCUCAUAUUCGAGCCUAUGUUGAACUUCUACAACCUCUACGAGUUUAUGAACAUGAUAUCGUGGUACACUGAGCAGCAGGGCUUGGACAACACGUCCGUGGCGGGCGUGGGCACCUAUAUUCGUAGGCUGAAGUUCACCUUUCCUUGUAACAUGGCGAAUAGGAACGAUCCUGAUCGAAUCAGACUCUUUGGCACAGGUGGAAAGCUGCUGGAAGCGCUCAAGAGGCUUAUGAGAAACUUGCAGAAUCUCAGGUGCCUGGAGCUGAUAGAUCUGAUGCUUGAGAGCAACGAAGCCGUACAUUUAAUGGAUGACAUUUGUGUAAAUUGCACUCAGACACUGUCGAAAUUGAUACUGAUAAAUACCACGCGUUACAAUUGCCCCUUGUUACACGUGGGAGUAUUUGUUAAUUUAAACGUCUUAGUUAUUAGUCCCCAGAAUUUGCACGAGGAUGUGAUAGAGUUGAUAGGCUACACAAAAUUAAAGCAUCUUCACAUCUUGCAAAAUCGAUAUAGUCCAAAAGAUACCACCAUAAGAUUGCCAAAGAGAUCGUCUUGGGUAAAGAUGAGAGCGAAUAAUCCUUAUUUAAAAGUACAUUUUGAGGUAGAGAGCCAUAAAGCCACGGAUAUACUUUUGCCUAUCGACUUACUAGAGCACAGCGCUAUACCGUGCCAUAGUAUCAUAUUGGAUAAUCCAAACACGCAAAUUUUGCCAUCCACAGUGCUUACUCACGGGGCGUUCUUCGAUUCGACGAUACGAGUGUACGCUUUUAAGGGAGUAACGAGGUAUUAUCUGCACAGGAACUUCGCUAAGAGAUUGGACGAGGCGUUAGUGCAAUUCUGCCGAAUGUGCCCGAACCUUCAUACACUGGUAGCAUUUUGUAUUUGAAUCGACACAUGUGAUAGCUUUCCUAAAAGGUGCUAACUGACGUUAACGAUGCGAGUUUAUGAUGUGCUGGCAUGUCCUCACGCAUUACGAAAGUCUUUCUUGCUAUUGCGUGAACAUGAUACGAGAUAAAAUAUCAACGGCUACGAUUCUAGAGAUCGUCUCUACCGCGAAACGCUUACGUUGCUUGUACGUUCGGCGAAACGUUGUCCUGAAGAAAUGCGACAGAGCCUGGUCGAAGAUCCUGGAUUGGUCACCCGAGUAUUAUCGAUGGGUAAAGAUAAACAGCCGUAAUUACGAGAGCAC